RNAcentral lists this ribosomal RNA (274 nucleotides) under uncultured Anaerophaga sp. RNAcentral describes it as "partial 16S ribosomal RNA". It matches the Rfam family "Bacterial small subunit ribosomal RNA", at positions 524 to 797 of the family's 1533-position model. Lineage: Bacteria; Pseudomonadati; Bacteroidota; Bacteroidia; Marinilabiliales; Marinilabiliaceae. The record is from RNAcentral.
UACGGAGGAUCCGAGCGUUAUCCGGAUUUACUGGGUUUAAAGGGUGCGUAGGCGGGUCGUUAAGUCGGCGGUGAAAUGCGGGGGCUCAACCUUCGAGCUGCCGCCGAAACUGGCGACCUUGAAUUCGGUCGAGGCCGGCGGAAUGCGUGGUGUAGCGGUGAAAUGCUUAGAUAUCACGCGGAACGCCGAUUGCGAAGGCAGCUGGCCGGGCCGAGAUUGACGCUGAGGCACGAAAGCGUGGGGAUCAAACAGGAUUAGAUACCCCCGUAGUCCC